Molecule: microRNA, 24 nt
Filed under: Haemonchus contortus (barber pole worm)
Lineage: Eukaryota; Metazoa; Nematoda; Chromadorea; Rhabditida; Trichostrongylidae
Description: hco-miR-5946a
Source: miRBase by way of RNAcentral
AGGAUUUACACCUGUUGUCGUGAG